UACGUGUAUGAGUCAAGUUAACAACAUGUUAACACCAUACACAAAUGUGAAACGGUCAGUUUGCCCAAAGCUGCGGUGGAGGUCGCUUGUAUUUCUUUUUCUCUACAAACCUCUUAAAGAAAUUUGAAAAAAAAAAAGGUGUUUUGGUGUCUGUCUGCCGCCUCUCACUGCCGGUGCAGCAAUGAGUGACUUUGGAGACUUCGACGACUGUGAUGUUGACUGUAUGGAGUGUGAAGACUGUGAGGAGUGUAAUGACAACCCCUUUACCAAACUCUUCUGCUGCCUCAUCAAGAGAGCCAGAAAAAGGAAAGCCGAUCGUCGCAAGAGGGGAAAAGGAAAAGAGCAAGCAGACGAACAAGAAGAAAUCAUCAGCCAGCCUGAGGCUGCACCUCCGCACCUCGCCACCUCUGCCUAGCUGCUGAUGGUUUUCUUAACAUAUCCAAUGAUUGUCAAUAGAGAAAGAAAAAUAGAGUGAAGAUUGGGGGAGUUUGCAGACCUAUAGGAAACUGCCCAGAUGGGGGCGACUUCCUAAGUAACAUUUGACGCAUCAUGUUUCCUCCCUAACUUUUUUUUUUCUUCUUUCAAUUGAAGCAAAGUUGUUCUCUACAGUAGGUUGCUCUUUAAUACAAGUUUGUUUAUAAUCAUAUUCUCAUGUUAUCCAAACCGUUAUUCUUUCCAUUGCUUUUUAUGCUCAUUAGUCUUCAUUCUACGAUUUUAGAAAAGCUCCGGCUCUCUGAGGCAUAUGAGAGGACUAAUAAAAUGCAUUAGUUAUCUACA
Portunus trituberculatus (swimming crab) is the source of this 777-nucleotide long non-coding RNA. RefSeq lists it as uncharacterized. NCBI's taxonomy places the organism in Eukaryota, Metazoa, Arthropoda, Malacostraca, Decapoda, Portunidae. The record is from RefSeq and is a predicted model, not a curated record. The transcript has 3 exons.